CAGCAGGACUAAGACAACGCAACCCGCCCCCCCUUUCCUCCCUCGUCCUUCAGACCCUGUUCCAUCCCCCAAAAAAUGGGGGGCGAGGGGGGAGAGCGAGGGGAGCGGGAUAAGGAGGCGAGCCGGAGGAGGAGAUGGAGGAGCGGGAGUAGGAAGGCAGAGGGAGCGAAGGAGGAGAGAGAGAGAGAGAGCCGGAGAGGGGGAACGCGCCCCACAGAGCUGGUGGUGGACUGGGGAGCAGAAGGAGAUGAGCAGUAGACGGAGACAGGGCUACCCAGGAGGUCACAGAGCCAGAGGGACAUUGGGUUCAAACCAACUCCCCCCUCCCCCGCCAAGCGGCAAUGUGGGGGAGAUGACCGGGCAUGGCACGCCACCCGGAGCGGCAGGGGCUCAGGAUGGGUGAGGACAACAAAGACGCCGCCCCACCUCUCAGCCCAGCCGCCAGGCCCCCUCGGCCCUCACACCAAUCUGCCUCCGGAGGAGGGGAGGCGGGGCCUCGGGACCCACUGACAGCGCUGGGAGCACUCAGAGAUACUCCACGUAGCCCUGGGUAUCUGCACGCAAAGUCGAAUGCCACCUAGGCGUCCUGUAGGCUCGGGGUGCGGUCUCACAAGCGCCAUGGGCAUCGAUGCAAGAUCAAACCCAACGGAGGGGGCACGCAUUUCUCCGGACCCGCCACCACGAGCACGGUGAGGACUCCCCACCCCUCGGCCGGCCAGACCUACGCCAUCCCUCUCUUCCCGCCAGACCUGUGGUGCGAAGCACGUGGCUGAUGUCCUGCAGUCCCUGAAGGAGGUCUCAGGAGACAUCUUUAGCAGGUGGGUGCUGGCCUCCCGGGCGGAGCCGAAUUCUGGCUCUGCUCUCCCAAGAGCUAUUGCUGCAGUUCCGUCUGCAGCCAGCAGAGGGUGACCCGACCCCAGCCACGCAGGGUCCUGAGUCGGCCUGUGUGUGUCUGGUCUGCGGGGACAGCCCGGUCCACUGCUGGAGGGUGGAAGGCGCGAGAAGCAAGGCCCCACCCCAGGCCCGCGCCCCACUCUCGCCAAGUCGGGUCAGGCUCUGACAGUGGUUGCAGCUUGGCUUCCCGCAGUUUCCUCCUCUGACAGAGCCCAGGUUCUCGCAGUGAGAUCCUCUGCUGCACACACAGGUGAUCAUGGUGGGCCCCGAGAAGCUCAGCCCCGUGAAGUGAGGACCCUUCGUGUAGGAUGGUCACAGUGCCUCCCUCCGACAGCCACAGGGAGCCCAGAGGGGAGAAGGGAGCCAGGCCGAGAGCCCGCAGGGGGGUGCCUGCUGCCUCUGCAGGAGGCAGAGUUGGGGUGGCCUGGUGCAAUCUGGCUGUGAUCUUUGCACAACAAAAUCUCCUGGCCUGAGGAGCUGAGCUACAGGACGCUGUGGGUCCUCAGGGAAGGGAUCUCCACGAGCCAGGCCAAGAUCUGAAGCUCAAGGGCAGCCAGAAGGUCAUCAAGUUAGGGAGCCCAUGCCCAUCAUCCCCGCGCCCCCGGCCCGCCGUGUCCCGCAGCUCCCCAGCCCUAGAUCCAUGCCCACAAGUGUUCUCCAGCUCCAAGUUCCUCGCCCCCAAGUCCCCGUAGGACUACAGCUCCUCCGUCUUCUCCAGUGCACAAGAACCAGGCCUCCAGUCACCGCCGCUGCGCUGCUUCAUCCAGAACAAGCACCAGCCGCUGGACGAGCGGGCCCUGCAGGUCUGAGGGCCAGGCCAGGGCGCGGGCAACGGGUCCACACAGGCUGCUGACCCCCCGAGGCUUCCGGCGAGGACUGAGUGGGGUUCACGGAGCCAGGCGCUGAGCCCCCCGAAUCCCUGUCACCUCCAGGAGAAGCUGAAGUUCUUCCCUGUAUGUGAGCACCAAGCAAGAGCCGGAGGAUGAGGCCAAGGAGGGGCUGGGGGACUCCCCAGCAACAUCAGUUCGGCCAGCUCCCUGUUGCUGUUCAGCGCCCCUUUAGGGCCCGGGGGUGCUGAGGGGGUUCGGGGCUGCACGGCACUAUGUCUGGUGCAAAGCAGAUGUGAGAGCUCUUGAGUCCUGGGCAUGCAAGAGCAGGCUGCAACCCAAAGCAAGAGGGAUGGUCAGGGACCUGAGCCUGCCUGAUCCCCAAUUACCCUGCAGAUACAAGAAGUACCUCUUCCUGGACCCAUUGCCAAAGACCCACGUGAUGCUGGAGGAGGAGAAGCUGUUUCAAGCCCCUCUGUCCAAGGGGGCAUUACCAAGAGAAAGCAGCUUGAGCAGCAGGUGGGGAGCACUGGAGGCUGGGGCCCUGGGAAUCUCAGCCAUCCUGAGGUAUGGAGGGCUCUCUGAGCCUCAGAGUGACCCUGAAGACCAUGUCCUUGUGUGGCAGCUGUGGCUCACAUAUUGCCCCGCAGGUCCCCCCUGAGAACUACAUCUAAGUGCCAGACCUGGGGAGGGUACCUGAGACUGAUAUCCUGUUCUACCUGCUUGACCUGCCAGGCAUGGCUGAUGACCUCAUGUACAGUGCCAACCUGGGCCUGGGCAUCACCCUCUCUGCCCCUGGUGCCAUCCUGGAGCUUCCUUCCUUCCAGCAGAGGUGGAUGCACCUUUGAAGGCUGUUGAGUUGGGUACUGGGCAGUGGACUGCACUGGGAGCUCCCUGACUCAGCCUGCUUCCUGCAAACUGAGCCUCGCACCUGUGUUCCAGACCUCGAGGGCAGGGUUCUUGUAGCACUCUCACUGCCUGCUUUGCACCACCAGGGCCUCCCCCAGCUCCUGCAGUGCUAGCCAGUGCAUCUGGUGCUGUGCAGCAUCUAGGAGCACAAGUUGGAGAAGAAGCAGGAGCAGGAACAUGGUGAGACCCCCUCCUGCUGCCAUCAGGACCCCAAGCAGAGGCACAUCAGAGCUCCAGGGCUGUCCCCCUGCAGGUGGGGUGCUAUUGGAGGCCUGGUUGGCUUCCCUGACACCCUAGUUCUGGGCUCCUGCUUGGGACUAUGUGCCCAGCUCAGCCAGCUCAGGAUGCACCACGGCGGGUCCCUGGGGGCUUCCGAGGGGUCUCCAUGCUCUUAGGGAACUCAGGUGAGUGCAGCCCUCAGCCUCUAGGCUUCCUGGGGCCACUGGUGUCUUAAAGGGGUGUUGGGAGCCGCGGCCAACACCGGUCGCCUUACUUGGCGGACGUAGGGCCUGUGGGUGGGAGCGGAGCCUGAGCUAGAUUGCCCCUCCCAUCGAGUGAGUCAAGUUGGCGCCUGCUUCCUGCCCCCUGAUUGCGCUGGCGACUUAAACAACCCGCUCUGUAAGAUAGUCUGCCUAGCAACAACUGAUGUUAGCCAAUCAGCCCGCAUCGCGCGCUUUGAACUGAUUGGCCACUGUUACCCUAUAAAAGUAAAUGCCUCUCCCGCCACAAGAGGGAAGCACAGAAAAAGCACAGAGAGAGAUAGAAAAAGUCCACUGGCGAGAAAGGGCUGGUGGCAGAGAGGAGGCCUCGCGGGGCCCACGCGGAGACAAAUAAAGGCAAGGUUGCACACCGCCAGACUUUGUCGUGUGUCUUUCCUGCCGGCCGGGAGCGACAUCAACAUUUGGUGACCCGCACGGGGACUGAUCAACCCCGAGACACGGCGGUGGUGUGCAACGCUCCAGCGUGGUGCUGCCGGACAGGUGAGUUGGGGAUAAGCCUGGGCUCUGGGUGGCGCGCACCUACAGGGCUUUUAGACUCCCCUCAGGCUCACGCGUAGGUGACGGGUUCUUUAAGUCACACGCGGUGAGUUACAGCCAUUAGAGGUUAGAGAUGGGUAAUUUACCGAGCGCGGAGGCGCGGCCCUUGGUAAAGGCCCUUAGGAAGCUUUUAAAAGCUAGAGACCUCAGGGUAGGUCAAAAAACACUAGAACUAUUCAUAGCAGAGAUAGAUAGGGUGGCUCCCUGGUUUUUACCCACGGGGCAUUUAAACCUGCCGUCAUGGGAGAAGUUAGGCGGGGACCUCGCUUCGGCGGAAUUGGAAGGGGAUAUUUCGCUGGCUAUUCGCCCCCUGUGGGAAAUGAUACAUGCGUGCCUUGACUCCUAUGCCGAGUUGCGCCGCGAAUUGUGUGCGUGCGCCGCUCGAAAAAAGCAGAGAGAGGAAAAAGGGCCCCCAAGAGCCCUCUGGCGGGGAGGAGAUAGAGAGCCAUCCGCUCCGCCCUGGAGCUCUUCUCCAGAAGCGGCUCCCCGUCGAGAGGCCGCUACAGGGAACCCUCCCUUCUCUCAGCCGGCACAGGAAGUGAUGCCCCGUUCCACUCUGUUGCGACCGCUGUCCUAUGACGUUGCGCCGCGGGGCGGACGGUAUUUUCAUGGGCGGCUACUCUGCCGAGCAGGCUGAGAAAAACGCCGGUCGAGAAAACGGGGGCUGGGGAUUUAGCUCAGCGGCAUAAGCGCCUGCCUUGUAAGCAGGAUAUCGCGAGUUCGAUCCCUGGUACCGAUAAAAAAAAAAAAAAAAAAAAACGAAAAAGACCAAAAAUAAAAAAAUAAAAUAAAAAAUAAAAAAUAAAAAGGGGGAGUAAGCCAAGGCCUGCCUCCAAAGGCGCGGUUAUCUAUGGCAUGACAAUGGAUGGGCCCGGAUCCGGUGGUUAGCUGGAACCGAGGCGCGGUUUGUGUUUUUCCGCAGGAACCGGGACGAGAACCACUGUGGGUCCCAGAGAGGUUGCAACAAGUCCCUCGACUGAAGAUCAGGCCUGUUCCACCAGAGGCCAACCGCAGACCCAACAACAAGAUGAGCCCUAAAAGAACUGCAGGACAAUCCCUUUUUGGGGAGCCUGGAAUGGCUUGCUCCCCUAUGUUUUACCAUUGUUAGGUCCCCUGUGCUCCUUGCUUCUGCUCUUACUUGUAGGACCAUUCUUGCUCCGAUGGGUUACAUCAUUUAUUAAUGGGCGCCUUGCGGCGGCCUGGCGUCAAGUACGCCUGGUUGCCCAUGCGGCCCUGGCAGCAGCCCGUGAUGGGCACAAUGACCCCCAGGCUUACGCAUGGCUCGCUCGACUGGCCUACGACUGGGUCUAGGUGUGGCGGGUCUUCCGCAUUCCUUCCCUAAUGACACCACACAGCAGGGUAGGUGAGUCAAUGACGGGUAAGAGCGUGCCUCCCCAGCACGACUCGACCUAAGCCAGGCCCUACCCCAUACUGCACGAAAGCCGCUGGAUUACUAGAAUCUGCCCAGAUCUAGAUGCCUCUCCGAGGGGAUCACACGGAGGGGCAUGAGUGCAUGCCUAUGUGCAUCCAGGUUCCGUCCAGUUCACUCCUGGCCCUGGAAAAAGGACGAGGGUCUCAAGGCCUUGGCGGACCCGGGGCGGCCGACCAGGGUCCAAGCCAAGGGCCUACGGUGGGCCUCAACACAGGGCAUAAGCCUCUGCACUCAAUCCAGGGCGGGCUGCGAUGCAUACAUUCAUUCAAAGUAAAUAAAUUAGGGGGAGAUGUUGGGAGCCGCGGCCAACACCGGUCGCCUUACUUGGCGGACGUAGGGCCUGUGGGUGGGAGCGGAGCCUGAGCUAGAUUGCCCCUCCCAUCGAGUGAGUCAAGUUGGCGCCUGCUUCCUGCCCCCUGAUUGCGCUGGCGACUUAAACAACCCGCUCUGUAAGAUAGUCUGCCUAGCAACAACUGAUGUUAGCCAAUCAGCCCGCAUCGCGCGCUUUGAACUGAUUGGCCACUGUUACCCUAUAAAAGUAAAUGCCUCUCCCGCCACAAGAGAGAAGCACAGAGAGAAAGCACAGAGAGAGAUAGAGAAAGUCCACCGGCGAGAAAGGGCUGGUGGCAGAGAGGAGGCCUCGCGGGGCCCACGCGGAGACAAAUAAAGGCAAGGUUGCACACCGCCA
Long non-coding RNA from Cavia porcellus (domestic guinea pig), 5787 nucleotides. RefSeq lists it as uncharacterized. The record is from RefSeq and is a predicted model, not a curated record. Lineage: Eukaryota; Metazoa; Chordata; Mammalia; Rodentia; Caviidae. The transcript is spliced from 2 exons.